RNAcentral lists this transfer RNA (72 nucleotides) under Camelus bactrianus (Bactrian camel). It matches the Rfam family "tRNA". Rfam says of the family: Transfer RNA (tRNA) molecules are approximately 80 nucleotides in length. Their secondary structure includes four short double-helical elements and three loops (D, anti-codon, and T loops). RNAcentral also lists the same sequence under 2 other names. Lineage: Eukaryota; Metazoa; Chordata; Mammalia; Artiodactyla; Camelidae. The record is from Rfam by way of RNAcentral.
GAGGGUAUAGCUCAGUGGUAGAGUGUGUACCUACCAUGCACGAGGUCCUGGGUUCAAUGCCCAGUACCUUCA